Molecule: ribosomal RNA, 254 nt
Filed under: uncultured bacterium
Lineage: Bacteria
Description: partial 16S ribosomal RNA
Rfam family: Bacterial small subunit ribosomal RNA
Source: RNAcentral
UACGGAGGGUGCGAGCGUUGUCCGGAAUCACUGGGCGUAAAGGGCGCGUAGGUGGCCUGUGGAAGUCUGCGGUGAAAGCCCGGCGCUCAACGCCGGGUCGGCCGUGGAUACUCUCGGGCUCGAGCUUACUAGAGGCAGAUGGAAUUCCGGGUGUAGCGGUGGAAUGCGUAGAGAUCCGGAAGAACACCGGUGGCGAAAGCGGCUCUCUGGGACGGUACUGACGCUGAGACGCGAAAGCGUGGGGAGCGAACAGG